GCUCUGAUUAAAACCUAAUCAGGAGAAAUACGAAAAAAUUAAUUCUGCUAUAUCUGAACUCCUCGAUAGGUCUGAUGGCAGGAGGUACUGUGCUGUGCAGCCAUUCAGUGUUCAUCCAGCCUGGGGUCUGCCUUACGUUUUGAAUUAUCUGCAGCUUUACCCAGUGCAGCCAGUCUUUAAUUUAAAAGAAAUGGGGGGGCGGAAAAAAAGGCACACCAACAGAGAAUAACAUUUUCAAAAGAGGCUACAAGCACAGGAAUGCAAAGCUGCAUGGUGUGGACCACUCUCCUCUUCUGGAUGAUCCUUAUUCAGCGCUGAGAAAUCCAUUUAUUUGCAGCCCUCCCAAAGUUGAGCCUUGAGCUCUCCCUGCUGAGCUCAGUGCUUGCACUUGU
This 392-nucleotide long non-coding RNA is filed under the name Numida meleagris (helmeted guineafowl). RNAcentral describes it as "lncRNA (ENSNMEG00000018254.1)". The record is from RNAcentral. Lineage: Eukaryota; Metazoa; Chordata; Aves; Galliformes; Numididae.